ACUCGCUGCUCCGGCGACUCCCGUUGACGCUUCGGGGCAAAUUCCCCAAUCGGCUCCGUCCCAAGCCUCUCCUCUUCUUCGCUCCACCGCUGCUCCUUUUACUCCCUAUUUUUUUUCCUUCUAACAGUAGAUCUGAUAGUUCCCCAUCGCAUGGCGUCGGCGCUGCUGCGAUUCUCGGCCAGAUAACCAUCUUCACUUCAACCCGUUUUGAAAAAAUUAGGGAUCUGGGGUCUGCAAAGGUAGCAGCUGUAAGACCUGAAGUAAGCAUCUCAAUUUGUUUGUGUUUUUUCCAGUUUCGUUAUAUGAAAAGGAGGUAGCAUCUGGGGUUUCAGAUCUACUAGUAAAUUUGAUACCAGAAAGUAAGCAGAGUUAGUGGGGGAAUGCGAAGCCUUUGGUUUUCUUAUUCGUUCUGUUUUCAGUUUUGGAAUUACCAGGUAAAAUUUUGUUUUUCUACACAAACUAUAAAAUUGUGUUAGUAGCAUAGAUUGUGGGUUAGACAUUAGUGUUUGCCUGCCGAAGUCAGCAGUUUUAACCUAUUAAAAUCCAACGACAUUAGUGUCAGAUUUGUACUAAUCUUGUGCUUACUGUACUUGUAGCCAAGCAAUUGAUUCACCAAGGUAGGCUGCUCUGCUUCUCACCUAUAUAUAUGGUGGAAUCCGAGGUCCAGG
Molecule: long non-coding RNA, 668 nt
Filed under: Triticum aestivum (bread wheat)
Lineage: Eukaryota; Viridiplantae; Streptophyta; Magnoliopsida; Poales; Poaceae
Description: long non-coding RNA (TAES_LNC028360)
Source: RNAcentral